Molecule: ribosomal RNA, 178 nt
Filed under: uncultured bacterium
Lineage: Bacteria
Description: partial 16S ribosomal RNA
Rfam family: Bacterial small subunit ribosomal RNA
Source: RNAcentral
CCUACGGGAGGCAGCAGUGGGGAAUAUUGCACAAUGGGCGCAAGCCUGAUGCAGCGACGCCGCGUGGGGGAUGACGGCCUUCGGGUUGUAAACUCCUUUCGCCAUUGACGAAGCCCUUCGGGGUGACGGUAGGUGGAGAAGAAGCACCGGCUGACUACGUGCCAGCAGCCGCGGUAAU